AUAUUAUUUUUUGCAUAAUUAAUGUUUUUUUAUGUCCGAAAAUUAAAAGGAGUGCCGUGCCCGCGAUUCCAUUGUGUCUCAGUUUUUUUUUUCAUUUGUUUUUUUGCGAGUGAAUUGUGCAUAAAAGGCGCCUCGUUUUGUCUCUUUCCCACUCCAGCAAGAAGAACAUAAAAAAGGAAUGAGCGCGCGUCUCUCUUUACAGUUUACACUGCUGUUCCAAAUAUUGGCAAUGCAUCUCUCUCUCUCUCUUUUGCCUUCGGAGCAAAAUAUGCGAGUGUGGUGGGAGUAUGCUCAAGAUAUUUUCUGCGCUUUUAUUGGAAUUUCCUGCUUAUUCCAAAACCAUUUGUAGUGCGUUUAUAAAUAUUAUAGAAAAAGGACAAGAGUGUGUAGUGCAUAUAUGUAUAAAUAAAUAAAUGUGUGCGGAAGUGUUCUUCGUAGACCGAAGUAGCGCUGCAAGGAGGUAGAAGAGAGUGGAGAAUUAUUGACUAAAAAGUCUGCUAUCACAAGAAAACACACACCACAAGCGGUCGAUAUGGCUUUAGCCAGGUGAGUCCUCAACUGUUUCAUACUGAGAGU
This is a long non-coding RNA of Drosophila miranda, 576 nucleotides long. RefSeq lists it as uncharacterized. The transcript has 3 exons. NCBI's taxonomy places the organism in Eukaryota, Metazoa, Arthropoda, Insecta, Diptera, Drosophilidae. The record is from RefSeq and is a predicted model, not a curated record.